Molecule: small RNA, 118 nt
Filed under: Marmota monax (woodchuck)
Lineage: Eukaryota; Metazoa; Chordata; Mammalia; Rodentia; Sciuridae
Source: RNAcentral
GCUGGGCACAGUGGCGCAUGCCUGUAAUCCAAGCGGCUCUGGAAGCUGAGGCAGGAGGAUCGCAAGUUCAAAGCCAGCCUUAACAAGAGUGAGGCAAUUCAGUGAGACCCUGUCUCUA